CAUACUUUUUUAUCACUCUCCAGUGUUUAACAUGAUUCCCUCUUUGUUAUGCUAAUGAUUUCCUUUUCUGGGUGUGAUUGUUUACUUUAUCUAAUGUAAGGGGCGCUGGAAAUGUUUAUAAUUGGUUAAGGUAGAUGUUCAUUCAAAUCAAAGAUGUUUUAUCGGUUUCUCAUUUCAUCACUUCCUCUGAAAUUUUAUGUCCAUCAUCUCCUGUUAUUUCUGUAGCCAUGAAAUGUAUUGAGGUCCAUAGAAGUUUUAGAUUAAUUUUUUUAUGAAUUCCUUGCACCUGAGAAUGGUGCUUGGCAAACCUGAAAACAAUUUGACUGAAAUUAAAAGGGAAAAAAAUCACAUUCUAGUUGCCAUAUGGAAAAAGAAUAUGGUUUCACACACUUUGCUUCAGCUAGGAUGAUGUGGUGCUCAAACCAAUGAAUCAUCUGUUAUCUUCUCAGUAAUGUCCCUGUUUCAGCUGCUCACAUUAUCAUUGGCCUUUGGAUGUGUUGACCUUACAAGUGUAACUGGUUAAUUUCUACAAAUCUUUUCUGUCAACUAUUUUCUCAUCCCCUACUCAAUAUUCUCACGUGUUUUGAUUCCCAAUUCUUUUUUUUUUUUGGUUUUUACUGUUUACACAUCACCAAAUUUCUAUUCGCUCUGCUUUAAAAAUUCCUCAUAUUGAGCUAGAUAACUGUUCAACUUUCUGUGCUUUAAGACAGCUGAUCUGACAUGUUUAAACUGUUUAGACAAGCAUGUUUCAGCGAUUUGUUUUCUGGGAACACCUUUCACUAAUUUGCAAAA
Populus nigra (black poplar) is the source of this 792-nucleotide long non-coding RNA. RefSeq lists it as uncharacterized. The record is from RefSeq and is a predicted model, not a curated record. The transcript is spliced from 2 exons. NCBI's taxonomy places the organism in Eukaryota, Viridiplantae, Streptophyta, Magnoliopsida, Malpighiales, Salicaceae.